Molecule: non-coding RNA, 1337 nt
Organism: Nothobranchius furzeri (turquoise killifish)
Lineage: Eukaryota; Metazoa; Chordata; Actinopteri; Cyprinodontiformes; Nothobranchiidae
Source: RefSeq, a predicted model, not a curated record
CUAAAAAAAAAAAAAAAAAAAGGAUCACAGACUAAAACCUGGAAGAGAAGUUGCUGACUACAGUAGCAUGCCAAGCUGCCACCACAUCCUGCAGGACGAGAAUCGUGACAUCAUCACCCCCUGCAGCUGCCUGGAGCCAGUGAAGGGACCUCAACAGGGGGAAGAAGUAACCACCAUACGAACAUUCUACAAGGGUUAUAUUUUACACCCUCAUUUAUUUUACAAGGAUUGAUCACCAUUGCCAUCUCUCCUCCACCUGCUGACCCAAUUAUCCAGAUGCCCUUGUUACUAGCCAAUCCUAACAUCUAUUUGGGAGGGGAACCCUCUGAUGAAAGUGAUGACUCUCAUGAUGAAGAAGAUGUUGUUAGAGUGUGAGAAUAUUGAGUGAUUUAUGUAACAAUCCCUUAAACUGUUUAUUUCUAUGAGUUUUUUGAUUGUGUUGUUUUUAUUUUUUUGAUCAUUGAUGUCCUAGGCAUGCCCACUCUGUGCCAAAAGGCGUUCGCCUCAAAAUGAGGGGACAUGGGGGAAUUUUCCCUAUUUGACGUACAUAAUUAGGGUUUUUCGCCCUCAUACGGUGAGCAUGCGAUCCGUUCAUGUUGUAACAUGUUCUGUUAAAAAUAUGAUCAUGUUUUUUUGUAUUAGUUUACUGCUGGAAAUAUGAGAAGCUGUAAUCUGAUGGAUUGUUUGUAUUUGUAUUUUAAAACUUUUCUUAUUGGAUUCUUUUUGAUGGAAUUUGGUGUUAUUGUUUUGAUUUCUUAUAUCUUUAUUGAACUCUUAAAAGAGUUCAAAAGGGGGAUUGAAAAUAUAUAUCUCUCAUAUAAGCUCUUUCAUAUAUUAUUAUAAGCUCUUUUAUAUGAACAAAUAUGUAUCUCUCACUUAUGCUCCUUAUAUAUUAUCAUAAAUACAUUAUUAUAUGCCUUUUCAUGGAAUCUUGUUAUAAUAUCGAAAACCUCUCUGUGCCUUUUCUGCUCAAGCUGAACAGCUGCAUAAGGGAGUGAAAGUGUUCCUUCCUUCAUUUCCUCAAUACAAGAACAACUGUCUUUGUUAGCAAAGGAUGUUGCAGGAUGUGUCCUGGUCAUCUCAAGGUUGCAUGUCCUUGGGAUGAAUUGGUCUUUCAUUAACAAGGCUAUUAGCUGACGUGCGUCUGCAGGUGCAGAUGGCAGAAUUACGUGUGUGUAUGGCAAACUACGUAUGUAACAUUCCUGUAAUCUUCAAUAAAAAUCAGCCGUUUUCAGCAGAACGGCGAGAGUCUGUCCGAAGCAACUGGCAAGAGCAGAUCACGGGACCUGCUGCAUGUUGCAAAAGGGCUCUCCCCCUCUCGAGCGGUGAAACAGUGA